This 498-nucleotide ribosomal RNA is filed under the name uncultured bacterium. RNAcentral describes it as "partial 16S ribosomal RNA". It matches the Rfam family "Bacterial small subunit ribosomal RNA", at positions 29 to 523 of the family's 1533-position model. The record is from RNAcentral.
AUUGAACGCUGGCGGCAUGCUUUACACAUGCAAGUCGAACGGUAACAGGCCGCAAGGUGCUGACGAGUGGCGAACGGGUGAGUAAUGCAUCGGAACGUGCCCAGUCGUGGGGGAUAACGCAGCGAAAGCUGUGCUAAUACCGCAUACGAUCUAUGGAUGAAAGCGGGGGACCGUAAGGCCUCGCGCGAUUGGAGCGGCCGAUGUCAGAUUAGGUAGUUGGUGGGGUAAAGGCUCACCAAGCCAACGAUCUGUAGCUGGUCUGAGAGGACGACCAGCAACACUGGGACUGAGACACGGCCCAGACUCCUACGGGAGGCAGCAGUGGGGAAUUUUGGACAGUGGGCGCAAGGCUGAUCCAGCAAUGCCGCGUGCAGGAAGAAGGCCUUCGGGUUGUAAACUGCUUUUGUACGGAACGAAAAGGUUUGGGUUAAUACCCUGGGCCGAUGACGGUACCGUAAGAAUAAGCACCGGCUAACUACGUGCCAGCCGCCGCGGUAA